AGCAAAGUGAAAAUAUUUUCUCGCUUUGAUAUACAUGUUCAAUAUAUUAGACUAGACAAUUUCUCUCUUGUUUGUUAGAAAGAGCAAAUCCUCUCAAAAUAGGUUGCUUCUUGUUUCUCUCUCAAACUCGUCGAGUUUUGUUUCCUGAUAGUCCUCCACUGUCUUCGGACAGGGGAAGGCAUCUUUAGGAUUCCAUUUGCUGGGUUUUUUGUGGUUGGUCAGGCUGGGGUAGUCAGGCUGGGUUAGGGCUUCUUGCCCUCCCAUCUGGCUUGUUCAUAGGAUGAGUUUGUUGGCUUUGAGUAACAGAUCUUCGAUCAUGCAUGUAAAGGGUAAUCUAGUGUAGAUUUAUUAGGAGCAAGCUGCGAAUUGAAGCUUAGCUUGGGUUUGUGGUUUCCUUGUGACCCUUGUUCAAUGAAAGACUUUCGGUGCUUGGGAGAAGCUCGACAGUAGGCUUAUUUGGGGAUUUGUAGAGCCAGCAUUAAAAGGGUUGCUGGCUUCC
Molecule: unclassified non-coding RNA, 499 nt
Filed under: Hevea brasiliensis (rubber tree)
Lineage: Eukaryota; Viridiplantae; Streptophyta; Magnoliopsida; Malpighiales; Euphorbiaceae
Source: RNAcentral